Molecule: RNA transcript, 4352 nt
Organism: Apodemus sylvaticus (European woodmouse)
Lineage: Eukaryota; Metazoa; Chordata; Mammalia; Rodentia; Muridae
Gene name: polymeric immunoglobulin receptor-like
Exons: 12
Source: RefSeq, a predicted model, not a curated record
UCCCUCAUGCUGUGACAUGGUUUUCUCAAAGACUGGCAUAAUUUUUCUUCCAGUAUGCAAAAUUGAGAAGCUUUGUCAAGGAAGUUACUGGGAGAAGUGAAUGAGAGAGACCUAAAGGAAACUCGGGCUGAGCUUCAAGUCCUCACAGAGUGCUGGCAUCUGUCAACACCAAGGACAGGAGAGGAGACAAGACCAUGUGGCAGUUCUGUGCUCUGCUCUUCCUCUUCCUCACAGGUGGCUCCACUGCUCAGGAUCCAGUCACAGGUCCAGCAAAGGUGAGAGGUCAGGAGCAGGGCUCCUUGACAGUGCAGUGCAGAUAUAACUCAGGCUGGAAGGAUUACCAGAAGUACUGGUGCCAAGGAGCUUAUUGGAAAUCAUGUGAGAUUCUCGUUGAAACCGAUGCAUCAGAGAAGAUGGUGAAGAAGAACCGUGUGUCCAUCAGGGAUGACCAGACACGCUUCAUCUUCACGGUGACCAUGGAGGAUCUGAGGAUGAGUGAUGCUGACAUUUACUGGUGUGGAAUUACAAAAUUUGGAAAUGAUCACAUGUUUGAAGUGAAUGUGAACAUUGACCCAGCCUCAGAAUCUUCAACUACAGUAAUGAUGUCCACAGCCAUGGUUCUGACAUCCACACCACCAACCAUGGAGUACACCAGCAUGGAGAGCACGGGCAAGGACCACGGAACUGAGAGCGUGGCCUCAGAAUUUUCAACUACAGUAAUGAUGUCCACAGCCACGGUUCUGACAUCCACACCACCAACCAUGGAGUACUCCAGCAUGGGGAGCACGGGCCAGGACCACAGAACUCAGAGUGUGGGCGGCUCCACUGCUCAGGAUCCAGUCACAGGUCCAGCAGAGGUGAGAGGUCAGGAGCAGGGCUCCUUGACAGUGCAGUGCAGAUAUAACUCAGGCUGGAAGGAUUACCAGAAGUACUGGUGCCAAGGAGCUUAUUGGAAAUCAUGUGAGAUUCUCGUUGAAACCGAUGCAUCAGAGCAGAUGGUGAAGAAGAACCGUGUGUCCAUCAGGGACGACCAGACACACUUCAUCUUCACGGUGACCAUGGAGGAUCUGAGGAUGAGCGAGGCUGGCAUUUACUGGUGUGGAAUUAUGAGAACUGGAAAUGAUCACAUGUUUGAAGUGAAUGUGAACAUUGACCCAGCCUCAGAAUCUUCAACUACAGUAAUGAUGUCCACAGCCACGGUUCUGACAUCCUCACUACCAACCAUGGAGUACUCCAGCAUGGAGAGCACGGGCAAGGACCACGGAACUCAGAGCGUGGGUGGCUCUACUGCUCAGGAUCCAGUCAUAGGUCCAGCAGAAGUGAGAGGUCAGGAGCAGGGCUCCUUGACAGUGCAGUGCAGAUAUAACUCAGGCUGGAAGGAUUACCAGAAGUACUGGUGCCAAGGAGCUUAUUGGAAAUCAUGUGAGAUUCUCGUUGAAACCGAUGCAUCAGAGCAGAUGGUGAAGAAGAACCGUGUGUCCAUCAGGGACGACCAGACACACUUCAUCUUCACGGUGACCAUGGAGGAUCUGAGGAUGAGCGAUGCUGGCAUUUACUGGUGUGGAAUUACGAGAACUGGAAAUGAUCACAUGUUUGAAGUGAAUGUGAACAUUGACCCAGCCUCAGAAUCUUCAACUACAGUAAUGAUGUCCACAGCCACGGUUCUGACAUCCACACCACCAACCAUGGAGUACUCCAGCAUGGAGAGCACGGGUGGCUCCACUGCUCAGGAUCCAAUCACAGGUCCAGCAGAGGUGAGAGGUCAGGAGCAGGGCUCCUUGACAGUGAAGUGCAGAUAUAACUCAGGCUGGAAGGAUUACCAGAAGUACUGGUGCCAAGGAGCUUAUUGGAAAUCAUGUGAGAUUCUCGUUGAAACCGAUGCAUCAGAGCAGAUGGUGAAGAAGAACCGUGUGUCCAUCAGGGACGACCAGACACACUUCAUCUUCACGGUGACCAUGGAGGAUCUGAGGAUGAGCGAUGCUGGCAUUUACUGGUGUGGAAUUACGAGAACUGGAAAUGAUCACAUGUUUGAAGUGAAUGUGAAUAUUGACCCAGCAGCCUUAGAAACUUCAACUACAGUAAUGACGACUACAGUCACGGUUCCGACAUCCACAUCACCAACCACGAAGUACACCGGCAUGGGGAACACUGGCAGGGAACACGUGACUCAGAGCAGCCCCCUUAUCUGGUUUCUGCUGAGCAGCAUCUCCUUCCAGCUGCUGUUUUUUGUGAUGUUUCCCCUGCUCCUGACCAUGUUCAUUGCUGUCCUGUGGGUCAACAGGCCUCAGAGACACUAUGGGGGAGAUGAAAUUGGCCUGGUGAAGAUCCAUAGCUCUGAUGCCCAGGACAGAGAGAAACACUUCCCAGGAGAUGGAAAAUAAUCUGUCUCUGUCUCUUUCUUCCUCCCCUCUCUCUCUCUCUCUCUCUCUCUCUCUCUCUCGCUCUCUCUCUCUCUCUGUGUGUGUGUGUGUGUGUGUGUGUAUGUGUGUGAGUAUAUGUUGUUAUGAGGCAGAUGUGUGUGUGUAGGACAUCUUCAGGUGUUGUUCCAUCAUUGUUUGAGACAGGGUUUCUCACUGUCCUAGAUCUUUGCAAGAAGACCAGGGAGCUGGCCAGGGAAAUCCAGGGAUCUACCUGCCUCCAUUCCCCAUUCUGCCAUUACAAGCACACACAGCUGCACUCACUUAAAAAGAAUCAAACAAACUCCGUAGGUUGUAGGGAUUGAACUCAUGUCCUUUUACCCACAAGGAAGGCAAGUGCUUUACCAGCCGAGUCAUCCCCGAGUCUGGAAAUAACUUGUUUUAUUAAAGAAUGACUGGUCAGUAGUUCCAUGGCUCUGAGGUGCUGUGGCCCAGACUCAGACUAAUCCUUCUCCUAUAGCAGGGACAGCUGAAUUCUGGAAUUCAUUCAUGUCCCUCUCUCUCAGAACGUCCCACAUUGCCUACCUGAACCUAUCUUCUACUGAUGGCUUCCAGGGAAGCAGAAAAUACAAGAAAAGGUCAUGUUUCUUCCUUCCCCAGUUCCUUAGAGGACACAGGCCAAUACAAGUGUGUGGGCCAACAGCCAGGUGACUGACCAAAUAUUUGGGAAAUGUGGCCUCACCAAGUGGCAUAAAAUUUGCCACUGUCACACUGGAUGUCUGUGCCUUACACAUGGGACACACCCUGCUUUCUGUUUUUUUUCAACACUACCCAGUAGCUAAGCCCAUCGCAAACAUAAAUGGAGCAGUUGACCUGGUCUCUGUGCCACCUGCAUAGGUCCCCAAGUAGUAGGAUAGUCUUGGAUCCUGAAGUCUAGAUUCUCUGCCCAGUGCGACCAAACAGGAACCUAAGCUGCAGGAAGGCAGAUGGCCUCUCAGGAGUCGUGAACCCACAUCAUCCCACGACCAUUCCAGGGAUGGUCUCUGCAAGGGGAUUCAACUCUCUCCAUUUCAUUCAGAAGCAUCUAUUGAAUGUCUAGGUAUUAGACACCCUCCACAUAUAAGCUCCAAAAUAAGAAAGACCUAAUUAAAGUCACAGAGGAAGCCAAGGGGUUCAAGGGUAAAUGCUCAGGGGGAAAACAGUUGUUCCCAACCCUUCAGCCUCAGCCAUGCUGAGUUAUGUACCAGGAUGCAGCCUUCUCCUCGAGUGAGGCCCUGAUACCCACAGUCAAACUCACGCCUAACACAGAUGUACUCCCACUUAGUGUAAGAAGAGUCCCCAGGUUAGCAUCUUUUCCUUGAUGACAUGUGUUGGGCUCUAGUGAGCUUGCCUCUGUAGAGAGGACAGUUUCCAUUUGCUUCCGGGGUAUAUCUGGCAGUCAGUUGCCCACAUUACCACCAUCUCUCAGAUAAGAUGACCCAGUUAAACUCAGUAGGACACACACACACACACACACACACACACUCACGUCAUGUAAUCAGGAGAGGGGAUCAUUAGAGCCUGUAGGCCAGACAGUGAUGGAGCAUGCCUUUAAUCCCAAUACUCAGGAGGCAGCAGAGGCAGGUGGAUUUCUAAGUUCAAGGCCAGCCUGGUUUACAGAGUGUGUUCUAGGACUCCAAAGAGAAACCCUGUCUUGGGGGGAUAAAACCCUGUCUUGGGGGGAUGUGAUGGUUUGUAUAUGCUCAUCCCAGAGGGUGGCACUAUUAGAAGGUGUGGUCUUCUUGGAGGAAGUGUGUCACUGUGGGGAUGGCUUGCAGACCUUCCUCCUAGAUGCCUGAGCAUGCCCAGUCUGUUCCUGGCUUCCUUUGGAUAAAGAUAUAGAACCUUCUCCUGCCCCAGGCCUGCCUUAAUGCUGUCAUGCUUCUGCCUUGAUGACAAUGGACUGAAUCUCUGAACCUGUAAGCUAGUCCCAAUUAAAUGUUGACAUUUAUAAGA